GAUGAAGAACGCAGCGAAAUGCGAUACGUAAUGUGAAUUGCAGAAUUCAGUGAAUCAUCGAGUCUUUGAACGCACAUUGCGCCCCCUGGUAUUCCGGGGGGCAUGCCUGUCCGAGCGUCAUUGCUGCCCUCAAGCACGGCUUGUGUGUUGGGCCCCCGCCCCCCGGUUCCCGGGGGGCGGGCCCGAAAGGCAGCGGCGGCACCGCGUCCGGUCCUCGAGCGUAUGGGGCUUCGUCACCCGCUCCGUAGGCCCGGCCGGCGCCCGCCGGCGUCCCCCCCUCAAUCUUUCCAGGUUGACCUCGGAUCAGGUAGGGAUACCCGCUGAACUUAAGCAUAUCAAUAAGCGGAGGA
This 350-nucleotide unclassified non-coding RNA is filed under the name soil metagenome. Its description in RNAcentral is "partial contains 5.8S ribosomal RNA, internal transcribed spacer 2, and large subunit ribosomal RNA". The stretch from base 1 to 120 matches the Rfam family "5.8S ribosomal RNA", at positions 35 to 154 of the family's 154-position model. The record is from RNAcentral.